RNAcentral lists this non-coding RNA (384 nucleotides) under Pongo abelii (Sumatran orangutan). Lineage: Eukaryota; Metazoa; Chordata; Mammalia; Primates; Hominidae. The record is from RNAcentral.
CUCUCUCAGAUGACUAAAGGACAGGAAUGAAGUGCUUCGUGCUGCGUCCUGCCUUCAACGACAGGAAACUGAGUUUGUUACACAAAUCUCUGGAAGAUAUGGAGCUAGGAAGAGCCGUUGCCGUCUGCAGCUUCUGAACACAGUGUGAUAGCACACUUUAUCUGCCAGAGCUCAGUUCCCAACUGUACUAAGGUUUUUAAAGGCACAUUGAAGUUGCAGCCAGCAAACUUCAGUAAGCAACACAGCAACUCCUAAAACAGCCCUAUUUGGGGAGGGGGAGGUAGCCACGCAGAGGCUAAGACUUAUUAACUUCAUUAUAUUAUUGCCAACAGUGUUUAUGUCUUUCAAUUUAUGUCUUAUUAAAUAUUCAUUAUUUUUAAACCC